Schizosaccharomyces pombe (fission yeast) is the source of this 1463-nucleotide non-coding RNA. Lineage: Eukaryota; Fungi; Ascomycota; Schizosaccharomycetes; Schizosaccharomycetales; Schizosaccharomycetaceae. The record is from the annotation of a GenBank genome assembly.
UGGAGAAACUUCGAUCGUUUUAUCAAGUUUAUCGAAUAUUUUCUUACGUGGCUAUAGCCGGGAAUGUUUAAGAGGUUUGAGAAUACGAGUUUCAUAUAAUUUGGUGAGACGACUACUAUGUCGCGCGAACCAGGGAUGGGAAAGACAUUGUUUGACUGUGAACCGAUCUGGGGGAUUCGUUUUUAAAAGAUUUGAUAUCAGAUCUUUGGCUUGCCUGGAGACGGAUUUCCAAACAGGAUCUCGAAAAUCCACUUGUUUUUCUUUCACUCCAUCUGCAAAUGAUGGUGAAUUACCUGACAACAGCAAAAACAUAAUUACUCCAAGGCUCCAUAAAUCGACCUCUUUACCGUAACCAGAAGAAUUUUCCUUUUCCACUUGAGACCUUCCUUUUAAUCUUUGGAUUUCCGGGGCGGUAUAUUCCGGAGUGCCUACGAAAGUCGAAAGUCUUUUUCCCUUCUGCAUACAUCUUGCAACACCAAAAUCGGUUAAAAUGAUUCUAAAAAUGGUAUCAGAGGACGACGCAAUGAGAAUAUUUUCAAGUUUUAAAUCCCUGUGAAUUAUAUUCUGCUCAUGUAAAUAUUUUAGCCCUUGUAGAAUUUGAAACAUAAUAAAUAAAGUGGUAACUUCAGGAACCGUUCCCAAUUUCGUUAAAUAACUGAACAAAUCUCCUCCCGUCACCAUUUCCUCAAAUAUAAAACUAAGGAAUAUUAAUCAUCAAAAUAACAAACCGCAUUCAAUCUACUUACAACUGAGUUUCCGAAUUAUACUCCAUGUUUACUUUGAUAAUGUUAGGAUGAUCAAGUUUCCUAAGAAUUGUCAUCUCGUGGUCCUCGAAAAACCGUUUCGUUGAGAUUUUUUUCUUGUCGAUGAUUUUACACGCGUAUUGUCCCCCAGUGUUAUUAUCCAUUGCCAUGUAAAUGCGCGAGAAGCCACCAAUUCCCAAUAGUCUUUGAGUGAUGUUAAAUCUCUCACCCGCAUACUCGUGAUGAAAAUCAUUAUCAGUAGUGUAUUUCUGCUGGAAAAGAAAGGAAGCGCAGUGCCGAACAUCGAGUAUAUCUCCAUCCGAUAAAAGGACGCUAUUGCCUUUACCAAUUAAACGAUGAUUUAAGAAUGUUCCAUUAGAGCUCUGAUCUUCACAAUAAACAAGGGGAUCCAUAUCAUCAUCGAUUAGCACCGAAUACACUCUAAAGUGCUUAUAACUGGCAGUGAAUUGCAGAAGCUGAUAAUUGCAUGUAUUACUCCUUCCAACAGAAACGUCUUCAUAUUUCUUAACAUUCAGUACUAAUAUAUGUCAAAAAUCAAUUGAAACAAGAGAACACACCUGUUUGUGGAGAAGAUGAUGAAAAAACAAACAAUCGAGCGAGAACAUCAUCUUCAGUAUAUUGAGGAUCCAUAGUACUUUCGUCUAUUUGACUCAAUUCACAAAGAAUUUGCGUUGAUUCAGAUCGACUAAGCAUGGCAUG